RNAcentral lists this ribosomal RNA (302 nucleotides) under uncultured bacterium. RNAcentral describes it as "partial 16S ribosomal RNA". It matches the Rfam family "Bacterial small subunit ribosomal RNA", at positions 508 to 807 of the family's 1533-position model. The record is from RNAcentral.
GCAGCCGCCGCGGGAAUACGAAGGGGGCUAGCGUUGUUCGGAUUUACUGGGCGUAAAGGGCGCGUAGGCGGACUGAUAAGUCAGGGGUGAAAUCCCAAGGCUCAACCUUGGAACUGCCUUUGAUACUGUUUGUCUUGAGUUCGAGAGAGGUAAGUGGAACUGCGAGUGUAGAGGUGAAAUUCGUAGAUAUUCGCAAGAACACCAGUGGCGAAGGCGGCUUACUGGCUCGAAACUGACGCUGAGGCGCGAAAGCGUGGGGAGCAAACAGGAUUAGAUACCCCGGUAGUCCCUGUCUCUUAUAC